AUAUUACACGAGUCUUUUAGUCAUCUUACAUAAAGUUUUGUUUUAUCGAACGAUGAGUUUUCUAAUUUAAAUUGUGAAAUAACAACAAUUAGAGACUUGUGUUUCCGAAGAUUGUUUUAUUGAAAACGCGCGACGAGCAAAUGCAUGCGCGAUCUAUACGUACGCCCUUCGCCACGACGAAGAUCCGUGAAAUCACGUGCGCCCCUCUGACGACAUAAAAGGACAACGUACGUCGCGUCCUUGCUAAUUGGUCAUGAUAUAUCGUCUGGAGCAUCGCGAUUACGUGAUGCACGGGGAUGGCACUUAACGACGAGAGAGUGCAUCACCUGGUAGGACUAUCCAUCACGCGUUUGGAAAAAGAAGCGGAGGGCGACGGCGAGGGAGUCAAAGCGAAAGGGAUGCGUCCGCAAUUUGUCCUCGUCACGUUUCGCGCUGGCGCUCUCUAAGAGGCGAGAAAGGGGUUGCAGCGGGGGUUGUAGCUUGUAACCUCGUUAUACAAGGACUAUAUAUUACCGUCGACUAUCAUCCAGCCUGUACGAGUGAGAUGAUCUCGAAUCGAUCUGGACGUAACGGCCGAAUAAAUUCACAUGGCGCAGAAAACAGGGUGGCGGAGGGAAGAGACGGGAGGAACACGGAGGAGGACGAGUAAAAAAAGGGAAGCUGGUGAUAGAGAGAAAAAGAGAGAGAGAGAGAGAAAGGGGAAGCCGAGGGGGUGAGGAGGGAUGUGGUGAGGAAGCCGUUGAGACGCGAUCAGCGAUGUUCCCUUUGUGCGGUUUCGCUCGCCGUCGCGGAUCGAAGGAGAGAGAGAAGAGAAAGACACCGCGUUCGUCUUCCAGCGUUCUCUCCAUUGACGAAGCCAAAGUAACCGUGUAAUCGAGACCGGCCACGGUGUAGUUUCUGGGCCUUUUUUUUCCUCUCUCGUCUUUUUGCCAGCGCUUCCUGCCGUCCUGCGAAAUUCGCGUUCCCAGCACGGCCGAUUUCGCAAGAUCGGCGUGAAGACGCGGCAAGACGAGAAUUUUCCGGCAAACGAGGAAGAA
Molecule: long non-coding RNA, 1037 nt
Organism: Cataglyphis hispanica
Lineage: Eukaryota; Metazoa; Arthropoda; Insecta; Hymenoptera; Formicidae
Exons: 4
Source: RefSeq, a predicted model, not a curated record